GCCCCUUCGUAUAGUGUUUUCAUAUCUCAAUUGAUACGUUAUUCUCGCGCAUGUUCACACUAUACGGACUUCAUAUACAGGAGUGUGUUCCUAACGCAGAAACUGCUCCAACAAAGUUAUGAGGAAGAAUAUUAAAAAUGACACUCCGUAAAUUUUUUGGACACCAUCACAAAUUGGUUGAUCCAUACGAUCUGUUUUUGUCCAAACUAACUAAGGACAUUUUUAC
RNAcentral lists this long non-coding RNA (226 nucleotides) under Mytilus galloprovincialis (Mediterranean mussel). The record is from RNAcentral. Lineage: Eukaryota; Metazoa; Mollusca; Bivalvia; Mytilida; Mytilidae.